GUGUACAGGAAAAUGACCUAUGAAUUGACAGACUGUGUCUUCUAAAUUUGUCUGUCACUUCUGUAGGCCAAUAUUCUGCAUGCCUUA
This is a microRNA precursor of Chelydra serpentina (North American snapping turtle), 87 nucleotides long. NCBI's taxonomy places the organism in Eukaryota, Metazoa, Chordata, Testudines, Chelydridae. The record is from Ensembl.